CCCAAACCUCGCUGGUUUGGGGCAAAAAUCUAAUUAGCGCCACACGCAUCGCCCCACGCACGUGUGUUACGUGUGUGUGCACGGCAGCGUUCGUGUCGGAUAUUAAAAAAAUGUCGGGCUUUUGGCUCCCUUUUGUAAGGCAUGGAGCUGUGACCCUCCCUCCUCUCCUCCCUCCCCCCGUAGCCCCAGACUUCGCCGUGCCCUGACUGCUCGCUCAACAUGGAGUUGUCUUCGCUAUUUUUUUUAUAAGCCACAACACCGAGAGAGGAGGAGGAGGAAGGAGAGGAGAGGAAGGGAGAACCGAACCCCGAAGGAUGGCUCUCAAAAACCCCGGCGGCUCCGGGGCAGCCGGGCGGAGAUACUUUCUGGAUUUAUCCUGAACGAGAAGUGGAAUUGUUGAGUUAAUGCCCAGGAAGCAGCCCUUCUCCCCAGUGCUACACCCUGCAGCCCAGGAGGCCUUCACACACACGGUAAGAAAGCCUCUCUUCUUUGUUUCCAAGCUGAGCUCUGAGUGCAAGCAUUUAGUAGCAUUUAAAUGAAUUCUAUGCAAAAGUUGUCUGUUUUUCAGCUUUCAGUCUGAAGUUGUGUGAAUUGUGGCCACAGUGUGAAUUUAAGGCUUUAGUGCCUACGUUGGUGAAUGACGGAGUUUCAGAACAUAGCUCAGUGUUGAAGCAUUUUAGAGACUAUGCCAACAGUAAUGACUUUAUAAUUAAUGAUAAUCUUCAUAAUUUAUCUGGGACAGUGGCAAAAAUAAGUGAUCUACCUGUGUGUUAAUGGCUGCAGAAUAUGCGGGUGUGUUCCGUCCAAAUACGUUUUUGCAAGGAGAGGCUUUGUUGUGGGUCUGUCACUGUCCUGGGAGGGUAAUUUCUGAAAAUAGGGGGUACAAAUGCAAAUUUGUGCUUAAAAAUAUUGAAGCAAGCAUGUGCAUUAGCUCAUUUCUUGCUACUGUGUAUUUUUUCUACAGUAAGUUCACUUAUGAUGUAGAUGGUAUAAUUUAAUUCUGUUGUAUUCAAGUUUAUGAGAAUACAAGUUUUAGUCUUCAUUAUGUAGAACGAAGUAUGCUUUGCUUCUCUGACAUCCAUGCUGUGGUGGCACACUCGAAUUUUGGCAAAAAUAACUCUCACCAAAAUAACUAUUAAUUUGUACCCCCAGAUGAAUGCUGUGGUGGGGACAAAGGUCUUUACGUAAUAGCACAGGCAGAUUUCAGGGAUCACUGCAGCAAGCUGUAAAUGAUGUAUGAAAUGAAAACUUCCCAGCUGAUGCACAGUGAGCGCAGUUAUUGUGCUCUACGCAGUCGCUGCUGCGAGAGGCUCUUUGUUCCAAUACCACCUCAGGCACGUGCCAGCCCUUAAUGAAGAAAACUCUUAUGCUUGUAUUUGAAAGCAUUAAGUCCUUAAGAGUAACACUAAAGUGUUAGAAAAAUCUCUUAAGAUACUGUAUCAGUAAGUAUCCCACGGAAGUUUCCUGGCUGUUUGUAUGUUUGUUUGGGCAUAAAUAUCAUUACUUUACAGUAAUGAACUUGCCAUAGAUAGAAUGUUUCAUAAAAACUAUUCCUUCCUUUACUACUAAGAAUAUGUUACUAACAGAAAGUGCUGCGAGCCUGUCCUGCUGAGCAACUGGUACAAUGCCAUGAUGGAAAGUAUUUAUUUGAGAUGCAGAUGGUGAAGCUUGUACAUGAAGGGUGGUGUGAAUAAGGAGGCUUUGUGUGCUGAAAAGGAAUUUAUCAGGCUGGAUGGAUGUUAGUUUUUCUGCGGAGAUCAACUUUUUGUUCUUGUAAGCCUUCUGUAAAAGUUGCUCAUGGAUUUACUGAAAUGGGGCUGAAGGAUGCUUUUAGGAGUAAAGUUCGGUAUAUUAAAUAGGAAGAACUGGAUGGCUUCGAAACAGUAAUGAAAGUAGGUGACAUCUAAUAGUAUCUAGUAAGAAUAUUUUUUGCUGUUAGCUGCAAGGGUACCCUUAGCUAGGGAUGUGGGUGUGUUGGCUGAGCGCAGCAUGACUGGCAGUUGCCAGCACCAUGUGUAAGGGAAGAAGCUGAGCGCAAGCCUCGGUGGAUAAAAAAGAAGGUGAUUCCAGAGGGGUUAGCUGUUGUUACAGCUUGGCUGUUUAUGGGGGAAACUGUAGCAGUGUGAAACUGGGACUAUUGUCUAGCUGGAGAAGCGUGCUCAGGUGAUCUCUGCGUCUCAUCCUUACACGGGGCUGUAACAAUUAGCAGUGAGGCACUUCCCUUAACGAGGAAAGUCUGGAAGGUCUUCUCUCCUAAUGAUGUUCUCUGAAUGUGUUCGAUGUAAAUGAUUUGGCAAUCUGGCAAACAGGAAGAAUAACGUAAAGUGAAAGGUUUUCUUUCCUAAUGAAACAUGCUUGAGGUACUAUGAGAUUGGGAGAAUGAGUAAGAAGAAAGCAGCUCUUGAACUGUUUACUAAAUUGAAGACAAUAAUCAGAACAACUUUCCUAAAAGGGAGAGAGAGUCCCAUUUUUGUUUGGGCUCUUUCCUAUUUUCCCUUUUCAGAAAUAGAAGAUUAGGAGGUGUCUGCACCACCGUGAUAAAACCUUCCCACUAAAUGUAUUGUCGCCUCGAGUUCCGGUGCAAUGAAGUUGUUCUCUUUCAGUGCUGCUUUGUUUUUGACCCCUUUUUGUGAAUUCUCUGAGGAAAGAAACAUAUUCCCAUCUUUUAUAGUAAUCAAAUUUAUCUGGCAUCUCUCAGCCUCCUGCAUUACUUAUGCUACAGUUGGCCAGCCUUGGGAAGGCUUUAGCGGGUUUAUUUAUUUAUUGUUCUAAAGUGAAGGUUUUUGACUUGAGGUCCCCAUAUAAUCCUGGGGGAUUUUGAGAGAAAAACUGAAAGUGCUUUCUGCCAUUAUUUUUAUAUUAUCUAUGAAGCUAUAAAAAAACCACAACAAACAAAAAAAAUCCACAGCCUGAAAAAUAAACAAAACCCCACGUGUCCUUCCCCCCCAGCCCAGCAUGAAGCUCCCUUAUCUCUGUUGUAUUGGAAAUGUUUUCAUGUUGGUGUGAGAGCUCAGCGUGGCUGGCAUCAUCGCCUUUAAUUUCAGUGAGAAGGCAGCAGAAGUGUUUCACAAGUGUCUGCAUGUGCUAAUGAAAUUCUUAAACGUGUUUAAUAGCUCGUAAUGUGCCUUUGCUUAGUAAAUUGUGUCCUAUCCUGCAAAUAUUUGCUCUCUGGGGCUGGUAGCUGUGGCUCCUUACUGAGGGGUGACGUCUGGCCAGGUACGUUCUGGUGGAGCCAGGCAGGUUUUGUAGUUUGUGUAUUCAAUGUUGUGCUGUUUUCUUUGUGAAAAAUGGUGCUUCUGUGUCCAGGAAACAUAGACUGAAAUUCAGCAUAAACAAAGAUGCCCCUCGUUCUGCUGGUUGAUGGCAUCUGUGGGAAGCCAGCUGUGUUUUUGUAAUAAUAAUAUACAUUAGGGCAUGUGCAAUAAAUACAUAAUUCAUAGAUAGAUACAGAAGUACCUGAGCUGCACAACCUUCAAGAACUCUUUUCUCUUUCCCCUUCUCCAUCGAGGUGGACGUGAUGCUAACCAACCUGAAACACACAACCUGCAAAACUUUGAGCUCUGUCCAGACCCAGAGUUCACAGCUUGCUAAUGCUCUGGAAACAUGUUUUGCUUUUUCGAAUAUCUUUAAAAACACACAAAUACAUUUCUGGCUAAAUUAAUUUUCUAAAAGUGAAGGAAACUUGGAACAUUGGGAUUAGAGUGUAUAAAGCAAACUUUGAAUUGCCUUGUGGCAUACAGCAGAGAUUAAAUGAAACCAAAGUGCUAACACAGAGAGAGACAGAGCUGUGGUUAAGGGUAAAGCACUUAUUUGUGGCUCUUGACUCAGCUGAAAACAGCUGGUGGGGAAAGAAGCAGAAGGGCAGUGCCGGUGUUACGGGGGCAGAUGGGUGUGCACUGCCCAACCUGGCUUUCGUUGGCUGCUCCCACACAGGGCUGCUCAGCAAAAGGUGUGAGAUAAGCUACAGUUUGGUAAUUUAAAUAGUCCUGGAAAGCACAGGCCGUUCUGUAACUUAAUGUUAUUGUAAAUGUUAUUUGUGGAAAUACCCAGGAGUGCGCCCCGUCUCAGACAUUUCGCCUCUUUUCCAGUGCUCCUACAACUUAAGGAGCUGCUUUGUGUGCAAUGAACAGGGCAUUGUCAGUCACCACAACUUUGUUCUGGUUGUUCACCAUAUUUAAAAACCAACACAGUUUAUAUGGGAAUAAGAAGUGUCAGGCGUUUAGCUCAUCUUUGGAACAGUUUGGAAGACACGACCUGCUGUACUGACUGGUACAGUCCUGGGCAAAGGAAGGGAACUACUGCUGCUCUAAAGGACGGGGCUCACCCAGAAAACAUAAGAACGAUAAGUAGAAAUGGAAACUGAAGACAGAAAAUUCAGAUUGAAAACAGAGCAUCAAUCAGAAAGCCAGCUUGAAGAGUGUCAGUAAAGACCUGAGAGUAGUGCGUUAAUAUUCACCUUAUGCUUCAACUCUGUGUAGCAUCGCUUUAAUUUUUUGUGGUAUAAAGUAUUUUCCAGGAUAUUCUUUAAAUUAGGUUUAGACAGAGGUAAAUUAGCAAGAGGAAAAAAAAAAAAAAGAAGAGAGGCAGAGCUUUUAGAGAUCUUUGUUGAGCGUGCUCAGUCUGUCCUCCUGCAAACCCACUGCUUUCACUGGAAUGCCUAUAGACCACAUCUGGCUUUGUCACAGCUUCUUUCUUAAUUUCUGUUUCUAUUGCUGUUUGUUCAUCAAUUUAUUUCUGUAUUUGAAAAAAUGAAAUGCUGAUUAUAAAGGAAUAAAGCUGUACUGGGGUAUCAUCAAUUAUUUUGCUUUCAAAUAUGAUUUAUUUGACUAACAACCUUAAAAGCUUUGACUGAUUUAAUUCUCUUUUAUGCCUAUGAAAUCCACAGAAGGUUGACCUAGCCAUCUUCCUCAUCUUCUGCUUUUAAAGUCCGAAAUAGCAUUCCCCCUCUGAUUCUUUGAUCCUAUGGCAUUUUCUUAGAGAAGUAAACAGUGAUAGUGAGAAAAUGUUCGUAUCGCGUUUUGGAUGUACGUACCCGUGUAGAGGGAUUUUUAUUGCAGGAGGAAAAUCAAAUCCUUGUCACCUAAACUGCUAAUUAUGUUUGAUAAAUGUAUGGUAUAUAUUUAAUGCAAAGAGAAUUUAGGAAAUAAUACACCUUGUGUAAUUACAGCGACCGAGCUACUUCCAUCAAUCUAAUUUUUCUGAUUCGGGUUCAUUUGCAUUGCAUUAUUUUUAUUAAAUGAGCUUUCAAUGGAAGCCCUGCUCUCUGUCAAGAGCAAGAAUCAAAUACUGAAAUAUUUCAACCUGCAUAAAUCCGGUUUGCACAUCACAUGCAUCAUGCAUGGCUGCUCCAUGGCAAUAGAAAUGCAAACACGCACAAACGUGGCCAUUUCAUGUAGGUAAAAGUAGCAGCUGAAAAGCAGCCCAUACAUCAUGAAUUCAUGUAAGUUCCCAUUUUCACAGGUUGUCUGUACACGUACACGUGCCUGGUUGGAACUGCAACAGAUUUUCUUAGUGCCAUCCUCAGUCCCAUGGAAGAAUGUAGUGGAGCAGAGCGGCUCUGUGCAGCCCUCCAUGGGGGAGAAGCUGCUUGCAGUGCAUGAGCAGCACAUCCCAGGAGCUGUGCUUCCUCCUGUAGCACCGGUCUGUAAUGGGCUUGGUUGUCCUAAACUGAUCUCCUCGGGCUUCCCGAGGCACGGCAGCAGCUUCAGCUGCCCAGGGGCACAUUCAGUGUGUGAGCACUAUGCAGCUUCAGUCCAUCCUCCUGGCAGCAGGAGCUGCUGAAGCCCCGUUCUUUAAGUACUCCCACGUCCUUCAGAAAUGCAUGAGAAUGAAGAGUGGAGUUUCAGUUUGCUUUUUGUUCUCAUCCCAACAAUUCAAUAAGUAAAAUAAAGUAGAUCUCAUGCAUAUAAAUUACUCCCACUUCCUUGGGUGUACCUUCCUCUCAGAUGUGACCAUUUCCAACGAAGCAAAGCAGUUCAGCUAUUUCAGAAUUGUACUUGACAGUUUCCUUUAGGAGGAUACUGACUACAGCUUUGAUUACUUCGAGAUCAGUGGAAGAUAUUCCAUAUAAUUUCACUUAGCGUGGUGAUUAAUGUUAAUAAAUAAGCACUUUUUUCCUCUUAAAAUAAUUGCAAUUCAUUAAGUCCAAUUCAUUGGCAGGAAAGCUGUGGACUGGUUGUGUGCUGUUAAGUCCUGGGACUAGUUAGAAAUAAUUCAUCCAUUUCUGUGUACCACGUGCAUUAAUUCUGUGGGAAACAAACAAAAAAGUAAAUAAUUUCCAUUAGUAUAAUGGGAUAAUGGCACCGUUUCUCUCGUUUGUAAUAAUUACGUGUUUUAUUUGGAGAAUAAAAUACAAGGAUUCUGUAAAGAGCUGCGCGUGCUUACUGCUAGCGCAAACCAUCAGGUUUAUUAAAAGUGUUUUUCAGAUCUAACUAGUCACCAGUAAUUAAAAUUGAUGUUAAUAUUCUUGCAAGAAUUGUGGUGGGGUCUUUUGGUUGCUUUUCUAAGCUCAAAGCACGAUCAUUUGCAGAAGACAAAAUGUAGAAAAUAAUUCCUUGUCCCAGUCGGAUGGCCUGUAAUAACUUGAAAUCUUCAGAGUUCUUAAUAGCUUGCAAAACCUUUGCCAGCAUAUUUGGUCAUAACAUCAUUACGGUUCUGCUCAGCAGCCCACUAUAUUCUCUCGGUGAUAAUUAGAGCGCGAGUCUUUCAGCUCCCUGCUGCACCAGACCCAGAAACACCUUCUGUGAACGCAUCCCUGGCAGCGCUCCUCCGGGUACUUCACAGAACAUGUAAGAAACCCCAUAAAGUGCAACUAAUGGAUUAGUUCAUUGAUUAUAGAUUUUAAGGCCAGAAGGGAGUAUUAAAUUAGCUAAUGACAUCCUUUGUAACAUAUGCCGUCAAAAUUAGCCUAGCUAAUUCUAUAUUAAGCCCAUAAACUUGUAUUUAAACAGAGUAUCUCUUGUACCGUUUCAACUUGUCUUGAUGUGGGUAUUUUCAGUCAGGAAGGUUCUGCCAUUCCUUACUUUUCAGCCAGGUAUUAAAGCACAUCCCUUUUUGUUUGACUUCCCUCGGCUUCAGCCCCUGGGCGCUGGCCCUUGUUCUGGGCUCUUUGGUGAGACACAGCC
RNAcentral lists this long non-coding RNA (7124 nucleotides) under Gallus gallus (chicken). The record is from RNAcentral. Lineage: Eukaryota; Metazoa; Chordata; Aves; Galliformes; Phasianidae.